Parus major (Great Tit) is the source of this 3691-nucleotide long non-coding RNA. RefSeq lists it as uncharacterized. The record is from RefSeq and is a predicted model, not a curated record. The transcript has 2 exons. NCBI's taxonomy places the organism in Eukaryota, Metazoa, Chordata, Aves, Passeriformes, Paridae.
CAAGCCUGCAUUUGUAAAAAUCCAUAUUUGAGAAAGAAGGCUAUAGUAAUGGAUUUGAUUUCUUUCUUACUGUCAUAAUUGAAAAAGAUGGCUAAGGUAGACACUUUUGAUCCAUUUUGAACACAUUUGAUACAUCUCAAAAAUACUAAAAUUAUUUUUGCCAUAGAAAAACUUUAUUUAAAUUUGCUGUAAAAUUUUCAUAGUCUUACAGACAAAAUAAAGCCCCCAGCUUUACCAAGACAAGGCUUAUAGGGAGAGUAUCAAAAGGUGAAACAACAAGGAAAUUGCAAGAAUAAGUACCUUUAGACCAUCAGAAAUCCAUACUUUUUACUAGAGAGUCAUACCUUUUCCAUUUCUGUUACUUUACUUUACAAAGUCUUUGUGGGUUGAUAAAUCUCAUCUUGGCGUCCUGCACAGACACCAAAACAGCAUUUUGAAUCAUUGUCUUGGGUGAAUUUUGCUUCAAAAUAUCUCCUGAGGCUAUUCAAUAGGAUAUUUGCCAACAAAGCAGCUUGUAAAAACGCAGACUGAGCAGAAGAAAGAUAUACUGAUAUUAUUUUCAAGAUCAUACAAAGGACCCCUAUACACUUCAGACAAGGAAGAUAAAGUUUUUCUGAACAUUUAAAGACAGCCAUUUGUAGGAAAACAUUUUAACAGAGUGAAAGCAUGAGAUUUUAGUAAAAGCCUGUCUGCACAAGCCAGCCUUUGGUAUAAGUGACAAUAUUAAAGGUAAUGUCCUUGAAACUCUCCUAAAGCAGCGAGAAUGAAAGAAAAAACAAUAGCCUUGUAUUCUGGGGAAAGAAUGUAAACAAUACGUAUUAGCCAAUAGUAGCUUGUUAGGCCCACGGACCCUGUCGGACCCUAUAAAAGUGGGCUAAAGAUAGAAAUAAACGACAUUCGCUAUACCUCCAUGAGGACUCAGUGAAUAGUCUGAGCGGUUUCUCAAUAGCCAUUUAUAAGGUUCUAGCUGUAAGCGUACAUUCUUAAUGGCAACCACAUCCCACUAUCUAUCAACAAAUCCCUUUCAGAUCAGAAAGGGAAUCAUACAUACUUGUCCUGGGGUGACUGUAUGGUUCUUUAUCCACUAUUGUUUGCUUUGUGCAUAGGCAUGAGUCCUGUAGCUUUAAGUUCAAAAAGGGGGAGGAAGCAGUGGAAUUCUUUUGGCAGCUGCGUUCAAAACACAGAUAACUUGCUGGUUUUUUUCAGCUCUCUUGGCUUUUUUCCUCCAGGGAGAGACAUAGAGUUUUUCUUUGCUUUUUUAAGCUAGUUUUUUAGCUAGCUGAGGCAUGAAGUUUUUCCUGCGACUGUGGUUUCUUCUUCUGGAACUGUUCAGCUUUUCUCCGGUCCGAAAUACCAGAAGAUCACCGAGGGCUCCCCUACACGGACCCAGAUGCCAGCUCCAGAUCCCGGUGAGCCUGAGCUGACCCUACAGAAAGGACUCUGAAUCUACAGCAACAGGCAAAUUAAGUGAAUGGAAGAACAGCAUGGGGCUGUCUGGAACUACAUGAAUUUGCCUACUCUGAAACACUCUCCUUUCUAAAACAAAAUGACAGCCUGAGAGACGAGGAUCUUCUUCAGCUUCCACAACUUAAUACCAAGUGUUGUUCUGCUCAGAGCUCUCUUCCCCCCCGUAACGGAGGCACCAGAAAUCCCUGGCAGGGUGCCACACAACACAAACCCACAAGACCUUGCUUAAAAUCAACCUACGUUGUCAGAUGUCUUUUGAGCUAAGGAGCCUGAAAACCUAUGCUGCAAGGAAACCACAAAAGCUGGAAGGGUUUUUAAGAGAAGACUGUUCAGACCAGUCCCUAGAAGGAGAUAAAAGACUAUGUAAAUUAGUGUCAUAAUUAUCCGGUAGACAACCUUUGGUACUCAGAAUUCACAGGUUUUAUUUUUAGUUCUGAAAGGAAGUAUGCCUUUUAUGGUUAAUCCCAGUUGGCCUCUUUCUGCUUUCACUGUUCUUACCACUUUAACAAGAGAAAUUACAGUACUUCUCGUUCAGCUGCUCAUAGGUUUUCCCAUAAUGGUUAUGUGGAAUGGGGAUGAACUGACGCUUGCAUUGUUUUUCAUAGAUUUGUACAGCAGAGGUGGCCACAACCAGAACUAAUUUCAUAAUUAAUUUCACGCUUAUGCUUUCUCCAAAAUUCUAGCUUUAUGUUUAAUGAACAUAUCUUAAUGAGUAUUAAUUUAGUCAGCUCAAGCAGUAAGUUCAGAUCCAGUAUUAGGAAUCUAUCAUCCAGAUUUGUUUUUAUAUAAAGAAAAUGCAAGUUCUACAAAAAUGAAGUGGCUAGACCUUGAGCACAUUAAGGAAAUCUUACCACCUGCAGACCCUCAAUACCCAGAAAUAUGACUUACUUAGAUUAUAGGGUUCUUUUUUUCCCUCUGUAUAACCAGAAAUCUUUUUAUUUUCAAGUAAUGACACUUGGUUUUUAAUUUUAAAUCACUUUCUUACAAUCACCCAGGUUUGCACUAGAGUCAUGUGUCACCCUGCAGAUUGGUGAUGAGUGAAGAAGGCACCACCAUGACUCACUGUCCCCUCAAAUAACCUCCAGACUGUUCUGACCAAAGCUGCAGCAGAAUGCACUGGCUGCUGACUCAAACAGAUGCACACAGCCUCAUUCUCUUGCUGCAUACAGUGCCUUCCCUGUGCCAUUAAAUAUGAUUCAUACACAGCACAGUGCCAAAAUCAAAAGAACAGAUCAACAUUGGCAGACAGUAAAUUCUAAGUCUGCUCUUCCUUGAAUAUUACAUGCAAAUAAUCUGGUAUGAUAAUAGUAUCUGUAUAUAGCAACCUGCCUUUCAACCUCAGUAAGGAUGUUACAAAUUCACCAUCUUUAGUACAAACACACAGUCAGUUUGACCAUGGAAGCACCCAAAAAGAAACCGAGAUGCCUGACACCAAAGUAAGAUAAAUUUAUGUCAGAGUUUUGCAUCAACUGGUAUUACAGAAUAAUAAUAAUAGUUGGUUGUUAAUUAGCAGACUGUGGUGAAAGCACUGACAUUAAAAGUCAUUAAAACCAUGUCCAAAAAACACCUUCAGAUUUGAGAGAAUCUAACAUUAAUCUCUAUCCCUCAGAAAAGGAGCCAGUGCCUUUGGAAGAAAGAAGGACAUGUGACAGAAGAGCUUUUGAGCAAUGUUGUCAGACAGCAUGACAUGAAGCAGUUCCUGUCUUCACAAAAAAGACACAGUUGGCUAAUAAUCCCAUCCUUUUCAACCAGACAGGAUGUGGUUCUACAAUAAAAGAUACACUAUUGACUCCAUUAACCUACAGUGCUGGAAAUAAAUAAUGAAAAAUGCAUUAAUUUCCACUGCUCAUUACCACUUCCAAAAUAGCUGUUACAGGCUUACCUAUCAUUCACACUAUUUUUCAAGAAAAUACUGUAAUCCAGGGAGAAAAGCAUUUCCUAACUCAAUAUUUUUUUCUUCAAGAAAGAACAAAUCUGUGUGUUAAACCUAGUGUUUUCAUCUGCUGAUAUUUUUAGAUAUGAUGAAUUAGUCCCUUCCUAUGGUAUAAUGCAGACUCUCAAACCAGAAGAAUUGAUCUUGCUGCCUAGAUUUAAAAGGUUUCACUAGCAAGGAAUUUGACUUACAGUUUUCAGUGAUAUAAAUUGAGGACGGGUUCUAGUAAUGCAAUAAACAACUGCAUCAUGAAAUAAAUUUUGAGAUUGUUCUUAAUAUGGAGAUCAGCAA